This 648-nucleotide ribosomal RNA is filed under the name Triticum aestivum (bread wheat). RNAcentral's name for it is "partial small subunit ribosomal RNA". Lineage: Eukaryota; Viridiplantae; Streptophyta; Magnoliopsida; Poales; Poaceae. The record is from RNAcentral.
AUGAUGGCAUUGCCUCGCGCGGCCGCCCUGCUGCUCCUCCUCCUCGUGGUGGUGGUGGCGGCGCCGCUGCUGUGCGCCGCGCAGAGCCCCAUCUCGCAGCCGCCGUCGUCCGGGGCGCCCACCGCGUCCCCGCUCCUCCGCCCCGACGCCGACUCCGAAGACGGCGACAACGGAUCCGCUGUGCCCCCCUCCCUUGCCCCUGUCGCCGCGCUCUCCCCUGGCGAGGACAAGGCGGCGGCGGCGUCCCCUCCGGCGCCCACCGAGACGUCCCCCGCCGAGGCCCCCUCCUCCGCGCACUCGCCGGCGCCGUCGCCGUCCCUGCACUCGGCCGCCUCCGCCCCAUCCCCCGCGCCCGCCGCCGACAAGGGAGGCGACGACGACGAUUACAGCGGGAAGAAGAAGGGGCAGGCCCCGGCGCCCGCCCCGGCGGCGAUGGAGGUGAAGGCCGACACCGGCGCCGAGGCCCAGCCGCAGAAGGGCGCGGAGGGGCGCGAGGAGAUGAACGGCGGGAAGAAGGCCGGCGUGGUGGUGGGCGUGUUCUCGGCGGCGGCGGUGCUGUGCCUGGCCGGCGUGGUGUACCGGAAGCGGCAGGCCAACAUCCGGCGGUCCAGGUACGCCGACUACUCGGCGCGCCUCGAGCUCGUCUGA